RNAcentral lists this ribosomal RNA (253 nucleotides) under uncultured bacterium. Its description in RNAcentral is "partial 16S ribosomal RNA". It matches the Rfam family "Bacterial small subunit ribosomal RNA", at positions 524 to 776 of the family's 1533-position model. The record is from RNAcentral.
GACGAACCGAGCGAACGUUGUUCGGAAUCACUGGGCUUAAAGGGCGCGUAGGCGGCACGGCAAGUCGGGAGUGAAAGCCCGGGGCUCAACCCCGGAGGGUCUUCCGAAACUGCCGAGCUAGAGUGCGGAAGAGGCAACCGGAAUUCCCAGUGUAGCGGUGAAAUGCGUAGAUAUUGGGAAGAACACCAGAGGCGAAGGCGGGUUGCUGGGCCGACACUGACGCUGAGGCGCGAAAGCCAGGGGAGCAAACGGG